This is a long non-coding RNA of Tachysurus fulvidraco (yellow catfish), 2332 nucleotides long. RefSeq lists it as uncharacterized. The transcript is spliced from 2 exons. NCBI's taxonomy places the organism in Eukaryota, Metazoa, Chordata, Actinopteri, Siluriformes, Bagridae. The record is from RefSeq and is a predicted model, not a curated record.
CAUAGCAUGGAGAGACCUCAUUGGCUUCUUAGCUGCCUAUCUCGGCCGCACAGGCACUGGUUGGCUCAUGCGAGGGCUUGUUUGAUUCGUCACAUCCUCGACUACAAAUCUGACGCGUUUUGAAAGUUUGGUAUGUGUCCAAUGAGACGUAGGAGUCCAACAAAGGGCGGAAGUGAAGCUUCGUGUUCAGUUUCCGGUCAAACAAAUAAUUCUUGUGAAGCGAGCAAAGCGUUUUGGAUUAAAAGGAUUACAUUUUCAAGUUUUUUGGACUCUCGGGGAUUUUUACAAGCAUUUGUUUUGGAAAAUACAUUAACAUUAAUGACAAUGUGAAGAAAGGGAAAUUUAAAGACCAGCGUUUAAAGUCGACUUGGAAUUGACCAUGAACCCUGGAUAAAGAGGCUGAGUGAAUUUGCACUUGGUUUUGUGGAGCAGCUUCAUCUUGUCAGAGACGCUGUAGAAAGACAAAAUUCCUGCCUUGUGAUCCACAAACACUCCUAUCCUAGAGGGGAUGGAGCUCAUGUGGAUUUUGGUUUCUUGGUUGUUGUGUAAGAAUGAGUAACCAGAUGAUUGGCAAAGCAAACUCCAGGACUUAUCAUUACGUCCAAACGCACAUUCAUUACUGCUUCCCUUCCUGCUGAUGUUUUUAUAAGACACUGCUAUAUGAACCCCAUUAACCCCACUCCACUCCACCUCCCAGUAAGAGUAUCCAGACACACUCUCACUACACAACACCUGGGAGUAACAGUCAAAACUCUCUGGAGGAUUACAGUAUGUCACUACUGAUGAACAGUUAGUCACCACUGUGUUCCCACCAGACAGAAGAAGGUAAAAAUUAGCUGUAUUGGGAUCCAGUGUGAACUGGACAGAAUCUGAUGGAGGAAAAAAAAACACCACAUCAGUAACAAUUCAAGAAGAAAAUUCCUGAACAUAACUUUAUUUAACCCCAUGAUCGGUUCUGGAAAACUUUUGUCCAUUAUCUUCUAAGUUAAUUGUUUUAAAACAACAAUGAAUUUACCAAAUCAACUGUUAUUUAGUCUACAGUUUCAAUAGCCACAUAAUAAUAAUGAAUUUUUUACAAUCAUCAGAAUCCACUAUAAAACUAUGAAACUGCUGCAAGUCCAAAUAGGAUCCACUUCAAUAUAAUGACUGCAUGAGUUUCUGAGAACAGUGUAUUUUAGUAUAAUUGGAGAACGAUCAUUGAAGAAUGACAAAAAUAUAUGCACUUUAAAAAGAGACCUGAGAACGAAUGCAUAUAACUGAACAGUGAAACUUGCUCUUUUGUUCAGCAAGCAUGGUUGCCAGGUCAAGAAAGUGAACAUCCAUAUAUAGCAGAUAUUUAUACUGCAAAAUCAGUAAGUUUGUUUCCCUAACAACCAUUUUUGACAUUUGUGUUUGGGAUAGUAUGAUCUUGGAGUGGGAAUUUUGCUUCUUUUUUUUUGUGAGUUAAUGUAAACAUUAAUGUAAAAAUUAAUGUUUAUGUAAACAUUGCAACAUUUAAAAACAUCACGCUCGCUUGUGUUGAAAGGAUCUCUUAAUGAAGCUGAUCAGUCUUCUAAAAAAGUAUUCCAAAGUUGUGUGUGUGCGCUUAUGAAAGACACUUACAUUCUAAAAACUCUCCUCUGCUUUGAGGGGGAAUCACUCGAACUUUCUUCACUAGAUAAACACAGUUACAAGCACACAGUUAAUCACAAAUGAACAAAAACAGCAUUUUGUAAGAGAAUUAUUCAGUCAAAGGUGUAAUUUGCUACAAAUACACUCAAUCGUACAGAAUGUAGUUUUACAUCCAAAGUAGAGGUGGUAUUUUUAAUUCAUCUCAGUGACUUGAAUCUUUUGAUUCCAUUAAGUAAAGUUUAGAUUCGUUCACUGACCCUUUCAUUAAAUGAUAUUACAGACACAGUGUAUGUACGUUUACAUAAACUGAGCCAGAGAGAGAAUAGCUAGGGCUUACCUUGACUUGACAUCUUCUCAGUCCUUUCUUUGUAGUGGUUUUCUAGGUUAUUUCUCAAUUCAGACACAGAUUUUAUUACAUCUUCAAACGUAUGGAGAGAAUUCACUGUGAUGGUGGGUAAGUCUGCAUGUUGAAGAGGAGCUGAGAUUGCCCGAAAGUUCUGCACAAAGACAGAAAAACAAAGAGAAGCCCAUGCUUUGCAUGUUAUAUGUCAUAGAAUACUGCUUGUACACAUUCAAAUACAAGUAAUAGUAGUUUUCUAAUAAAACGUGUCAGUAGAUCUUAGAACUUAGUAAACGUGGUCACAUGCCGAAACUGAGAAUUACAGUUAACAGGAAUUUUGUAUGAUUGUGAUUGUGGAAAUAAAAUAUAUUUAUGCAUUAA